Molecule: unclassified non-coding RNA, 229 nt
Filed under: plant metagenome
Description: partial contains small subunit ribosomal RNA, internal transcribed spacer 1, and 5.8S ribosomal RNA
Source: RNAcentral
UCUCCGUAGGUGAACCUGCGGAGGGAUCAUUACAGAGUUCAUGCCCUACCGGGUAGAUCUCCCACCCUAUGUUAUUAUUACUUUGUUGCUUUGGCGGGCCGUUAGGCUCCGGCCCGACUACCGGCCCCGGCUGGUAAGCGCCCGCCAGAGGACCCAAAACCCUGAAUAUUAGUGUCGUCUGAGUGCUAUAUAAUAGUUAAAACUUUCAACAACGGAUCUCUUAGUUCUG